AAUAGAUACCCGGGUAGUCCACGCCGUAAACGAUGAGUGCUAAGUGUUAGAGGGUUUCCGCCCUUUAGUGCUGAAGUUAACGCAUUAAGCACUCCGCCUGGGGAGUACGGCCGCAAGGCUGAAACUCAAAGGAAUUGACGGGGGCCCGCACAAGCGGUGGAGCAUGUGGUUUAAUUCGAAGCAACGCGAAGAACCUUACCAGGUCUUGACAUCCUCUGACAACCCUAGAGAUAGGGCUUCUCCUUCGGGAGCAGAGUGACAGGUGGUGCAUGGUUGUCGUCAGCUCGUGUCGUGAGAUGUUGGGUUAAGUCCCGCAACGAGCGCAACCCUUGAUCUUAGUUGCCAUCAUUUAGUUGGGCACUCUAAGGUGACUGCCGGUGACAAACCGGAGGAAGGUGGGGAUGACGUCAAAGUCAUCAUGCCCCUUAUGACCUGGGCUACACACGUGCUACAAUGGACGGUACAAAGAGCUGCAAAGACCGCGAGGUGGAGCUAAUCUCAUAAAACCGUUCUCAGUUCGGAUUGUAGG
This 529-nucleotide ribosomal RNA is filed under the name uncultured bacterium. Its description in RNAcentral is "bacterial SSU rRNA". It matches the Rfam family "Bacterial small subunit ribosomal RNA", at positions 777 to 1304 of the family's 1533-position model. The record is from RNAcentral.